This 273-nucleotide ribosomal RNA is filed under the name uncultured bacterium. RNAcentral's name for it is "partial 16S ribosomal RNA". It matches the Rfam family "Bacterial small subunit ribosomal RNA", at positions 524 to 795 of the family's 1533-position model. The record is from RNAcentral.
UACGUAGGUGGCGAGCGUUGUCCGGAUUUAUUGGGCGUAAAGCGCGCGCAGGCGGUGCGGUAAGUCCGUCGUGAAAUCUCCCGGCUCAACUGGGAGGGUGCGGUGGAGACUGCCGGACUGGAGGCACUCAGAGGCCGGUGGAAUUCCCGGUGUAGUGGUGAAAUGCGUAGAGAUCGGGAGGAACACCAGUGGCGAAGGCGGCCGGCUGGGGGUGACCUGACGCUGAGGCGCGAAAGCGUGGGGAGCGAACCGGGAGUUAGAUAAUCCCGAGAC